CGCGGGCUGUCUCACGUUGCGAUUACGUAAACAAACAGAUUUUUCGCGUGCUCGCCAAAUUCGAACAUGUGAAUGAUUUUGAGUCAAAAUCGAUUAGUUACAUUUGUUUUUUAUAAGAAGUAACGGGAUAACUUAAAACGAAUAUAGCACAUACUCAUAUGGAUUACUUUUUUUUUUGGAAUUUAUUUAUUCAUUUAUUUGAAUCAUGCUUCCAUCUGUCAUCCGGGUGUCUCACUGAUGAAAACACCAGUUUGAAGCUACAUCAGGCAUCCAUUCACUGCAGAGGAUUCAUUGCUGAGCAAGUGAUGGAAUGCUAAUUUCCUCCAAAUUAGUUCUGAUAAAGAAACAAACUCAUCUACAUCUCGGAUGACCUGAGGAUGGCCAGAGUGAGGCAAAUAUUAGAUCAACAUGUAUGGAAAUAUAUUAUUACAAAGAGAAGCUGUUACGCCGCAGACACCUCUUCAAGAGUCCAAGUGAGAUUUGUGAACCGCCGCUGCAAGGAAAAGGACCUCUGGUGUCAAGGUCAAACUUCUUUGGAACAAUAAAUUUAUUGUAAGUAAAACUUUGGAUUAGGCCUCCAUUGAGUGGUUGACCAGUAUCCAUCCAUGGUUUAAAAUCCAGCCUGACCAACUUAAGAAAUGCAUGGUAAGAUCAGCUGGUAGCUGGAACUGAAGCAGUUUAAGAUGAAUUUUCCAUCAAGGUGAACAUCUUUGAAGUUAAAGAAACCGCAUUAUCAAGGUCUUGGCAGGGACGUACCCCAAAGUCUGGAAUUUUUUCCCAAGAUGUAUAUAAUAAAGGUUGUGAAAUAGUUGGCAAAUAUUUAAUAAAUGUACCCAGCUUUCCUGGUAGCCUUCAGUAAAUUCACUUGUCUAAGAAAAG
Long non-coding RNA from Cyprinus carpio carpio, 879 nucleotides. NCBI's taxonomy places the organism in Eukaryota, Metazoa, Chordata, Actinopteri, Cypriniformes, Cyprinidae. The record is from Ensembl.